RNAcentral lists this transfer RNA (71 nucleotides) under Eupsittula pertinax chrysogenys (Brazilian brown-throated parakeet). RNAcentral describes it as "tRNA-Gln". It matches the Rfam family "tRNA". From Rfam's summary of the family: Transfer RNA (tRNA) molecules are approximately 80 nucleotides in length. Their secondary structure includes four short double-helical elements and three loops (D, anti-codon, and T loops). The record is from RNAcentral. Lineage: Eukaryota; Metazoa; Chordata; Aves; Psittaciformes; Psittacidae.
UAGGAAAUAAUAUAGAGGAAGUAUGGAGGAUUUUGAUUCCUUUUGUGUAGGUUCCAUUCCUGCUUUUCUAA